RNAcentral lists this long non-coding RNA (396 nucleotides) under Brassica rapa (field mustard). RNAcentral describes it as "long non-coding RNA (BRAP_LNC008401)". Lineage: Eukaryota; Viridiplantae; Streptophyta; Magnoliopsida; Brassicales; Brassicaceae. The record is from RNAcentral.
CUUGGGUCGGGUACUAGAGUAUUGACCAAGACAAAGAGUAAAUGCAAAAUUUAAAGAUGAAAAUCGAAUCAAGAUUGAGAAAGGAAAGUGGGAAUAUUUUUUUGAUUUUCGAAAACUUGGAAAGAAAGCGAAACUUUUUUUUUUAAAUGCAAAAAUCGAAAACUUGGAGAACAAUCCAAAAAUUUCAAAAUAAGGAAAGUAAAUAUUUUUUUUUUUGAAGUGCGACGGCUAGGGUUCAGAAAGAACUGAGUUUCACAGGAAACUUCGGCUCUGAUACCAAAAUUUUGUAGGCACGGGACGGAUGGUCGGAUGGACGGAAGGACAGACGGUCAGAUGGACGUUCCGCGGUUCAGCCUUCGCUCAGAUGGACGGUACUGGCCAGGUCGUCUCUUGUUU